UACGGGAGGUAGCAGUGGGGAAUAUUGCACAAUGGGCGAAAGCCUGAUGCAGCUAUGCCGCGUGUAUGAAGAAGGCCUUAGGGUUGUAAAGUACUUUCAUCGGGGAGGAAAAAACAAAACUAAUAAUUUUAUUUCUUGACGUUACCCGAAAAAGAAGCACCGGCUAACUCCGUGCCAGCAGCCGCGGUAAUACGGAGGGUGCUAGCGUUAAUCAGAAUUACUGGGCGUAAAGAGCACGUAGGUGGUUUUUUUAAGUCAGAUGUGAAAUCCCUGGGCUUAACCUAGGAACUGCAUUUUGAAACUGAAAUACUAGAGUAUCGUAGAGGGAGGUAGAAUUCUAGGUGUAGCGGUGAAAUGCGUAGAUAUCUGGAGGAAUACCUGUGGCGAAAGCGGCCUCCUAAACGAAUACUGACACUGAGGGUGCGAAAGCGUGGGGAGCAAACAGGGAUUAGAUACC
This 457-nucleotide ribosomal RNA is filed under the name uncultured bacterium. RNAcentral's name for it is "bacterial SSU rRNA". It matches the Rfam family "Bacterial small subunit ribosomal RNA", at positions 340 to 786 of the family's 1533-position model. The record is from RNAcentral.